AGAGUUUGAUCCUGGCUCAGGACGAACGCUGGCGGCGUGCCUAACACAUGCAAGUCGAACGGAGAAUUUCGAUAAGUUUACUUAGAGAAAUUUUUAGUGGCGGACGGUGGCGGACGGGUGAGUAACGCGUGGGUAACCUACCCAUAAAGUCGGGACAACCCUUGGAAACGAGGGCUAAUACCGAAUAAUCUUAGUUCGUGGCAUCACGAAUUAAGAAAAGGUGGCCUCUGAAAAUGCUACCGAUUAUGGAUGGACCCGCGUCUGAUUAGCUAGUUGGUGGGGUAAAGGCCUACCAAGGCGACGAUCAGUAGCCGGCCUGAGAGGGUGAACGGCCACACUGGGACUGAGACACGGCCCAGACUCCUACGGGAGGCAGCAGUGGGGAAUCUUCCGCAAUGGACGAAAGUCUGACGGAGCAACGCCGCGUGUAUGAUGAAGGUCUUCGGAUUGUAAAGUACUGUCUUUGGGGAAGAAAAAAAUGGAGUUUAUAUGACGGUACCCAAGGAGGAAGCCCCGGCUAACUACGUGCCAGCAGCCGCGGUAAUACGUAGGUGGCAAGCGUUAUCCGGAAUUAUUGGGCGUAAAGGGAGCGUAGGCGGUUUGAUAAGUCUGAGGUGAAAGUUCGGGGCUCAACCCCGUAUUGCCUUUAAAAACUGUCAGACUAGAGUGCAGGAGAGGGCAAUGGAAUUCCAUGUGUAGCGGUAAAAUGCGUAGAUAUAUGGAGGAACACCAGUGGCGAAGGCGGUUGCCUGGCCUGUAACUGACGCUGAGGCACGAAAGCGUGGGGAGCAAAUAGGAUUAGAUACCCUAGUAGUCCACGCUGUAAACGAUGUAAACGAUGAUUACUAAGUGUUGGAGCAAUUCAGUGCCGCAGUUAACGCAAUAAGUAUCCCGCCUGGGGAGUACGGCCGCAAGGUUGAAACUCAAAGGAAUUGACGGGGGCCCGCACAAGCAGCGGAGCAUGUGGUUUAAUUCGAAGCAACGCGAAGAACCUUACCAGAACUUGACAUCGUCUGAAUUACUCUUAAUCGAGGAAGCCUUUCGGGGCAGAUAGACAGGUGGUGCAUGGUUGUCGUCAGCUCGUGUCGUGAGAUGUUGGGUUAAGUCCCGCAACGAGCGCAACCCUUAUUGCUAGUUGCCAUCAUUAAGUUGGGCGAGCGGUUGAGAGGUAUUUUCACUUCUCUCAAUAGCGGCGGACGGGUGAGUAACGCGUGGAUAAUCUGCCUGUAAGACUACACACGUACUACAAUGGCCUGAACAGAGGGAAGCAAAACUGCGAAGUUAAGCCAACCCCUUAAAACAGGUCCCAGUUCGGAUUGUAGGCUGCAACUCGCCUACAUGAAGUCGGAAUCGCUAGUAAUCGCAGGUCAGCAUACUGCGGUGAAUACGUUCCCGGGCCUUGUACACACCGCCCGUCACACCACGAAAGUCGGCAACACCCGAAGCCGGUGACUCAACCCGUAAGGGAGAGAGCCGUCGAAGGUGGGGUUGGUAAUUGGGGUGAAGUCGUAACAAGGUAACCU
This 1523-nucleotide ribosomal RNA is filed under the name uncultured bacterium. RNAcentral's name for it is "partial 16S ribosomal RNA". It matches the Rfam family "Bacterial small subunit ribosomal RNA". The record is from RNAcentral.